CAGCGAUGAGGAAAACAUCUGUGUCCAGAGUUGGUCUUCUAUGGAGGUCCUUCAAUGACGGUAAACACAACCCUCUAAGAAGUUCUGAGCUC
Beta vulgaris subsp. vulgaris (sugar beet) is the source of this 92-nucleotide non-coding RNA. The record is from Rfam. NCBI's taxonomy places the organism in Eukaryota, Viridiplantae, Streptophyta, Magnoliopsida, Caryophyllales, Amaranthaceae.